AGAGAGAAGAACAGAGAAGAGGAGAGGAUAGAGAGAAGAACAGAGAGGAGGAGAGGUUAGAGAGAAGAACAGAGAGGAGGAGAGGAUAGAGAGAAGAACAGAGAGGAGGAGAGGAUAGAGAGAAGAACAGAGAGGAGGAGAGGUUAGAGAGAAGAACAGAGAGGAGGAGAGGAUAGAGAGUAGAAGAGAGAGGAGGAGAGGAUAGAGAGAAGAACAGAGAGGAGGAGAGGUUAGAGAGAAGAACAGAGAGGAGGAGAGGAUAGAGAGAAGAAGAGAGAGGAGGAGAGGAUAGAGAGAAGAACAGAGAGGAGGAGAGGAUAGAGAGUAGAAGAGAGAGGAGGAGAGGAUAGAGAGAAGAACAGAGAGGAGGAGAGGAUAGAGAGAAGAACAGA
Oncorhynchus keta (chum salmon) is the source of this 392-nucleotide long non-coding RNA. RefSeq lists it as uncharacterized. The record is from RefSeq and is a predicted model, not a curated record. Lineage: Eukaryota; Metazoa; Chordata; Actinopteri; Salmoniformes; Salmonidae. The transcript has 4 exons.